GGGGAGGUAGCUCAAUUGGACAGAGCAGCGCACUGUUAAUGCGAAGGUUAUCAGUUCGAGUCUGGUCCACCCCG
RNAcentral lists this transfer RNA (74 nucleotides) under Siphoviridae sp. ctAUQ2. RNAcentral's name for it is "tRNA-Asn". It matches the Rfam family "tRNA". From Rfam's summary of the family: Transfer RNA (tRNA) molecules are approximately 80 nucleotides in length. The record is from RNAcentral. Lineage: Duplodnaviria; Heunggongvirae; Uroviricota; Caudoviricetes.